UGACCGCGGGCGGCGUGCCGACUACAUGCAAGUCGAGCGAACAGACGAGGAGCUUGCUCCUCUGACGUUAGCGGCGGACGGGUGAGUAACACGUGGAUAACCUACCUAUAAGACUGGGAUAACUUCGGGAAACCGGAGCUAAUACCGGAUAAUAUAUUGAACCGCAUGGUUCAAUAGUGAAAGACGGUUUUGCUGUCACUUAUAGAUGGAUCCGCGCCGCAUUAGCUAGUUGGUAAGGUAACGGCUUACCAAGGCAACGAUGCGUAGCCGACCUGAGAGGGUGAUCGGCCACACUGGAACUGAGACACGGUCCAGACUCCUACGGGAGGCAGCAGUAGGGAAUCUUCCGCAAUGGGCGAAAGCCUGACGGAGCAACGCCGCGUGAGUGAUGAAGGUCUUCGGAUCGUAAAACUCUGUUAUUAGGGAAGAACAAAUGUGUAAGUAACUAUGCACGUCUUGACGGUACCUAAUCAGAAAGCCACGGCUAACUACGUC
This 495-nucleotide ribosomal RNA is filed under the name uncultured bacterium. RNAcentral describes it as "partial 16S ribosomal RNA". It matches the Rfam family "Bacterial small subunit ribosomal RNA", at positions 30 to 507 of the family's 1533-position model. The record is from RNAcentral.